RNAcentral lists this ribosomal RNA (430 nucleotides) under uncultured Acidobacteriota bacterium. RNAcentral describes it as "bacterial SSU rRNA". It matches the Rfam family "Bacterial small subunit ribosomal RNA", at positions 1 to 424 of the family's 1533-position model. The record is from RNAcentral. Lineage: Bacteria; Pseudomonadati; Acidobacteriota.
UAGAGUUUGAUCCUGGCUCAGAGCGAACGUUAGCGGCGGGCCUAACACAUGCAAGUCGAACGCGAAAGUCCCGCAAGGGAUAAGUAGAGUGGCAAACGGGUGAGUAACACGUGGGUGACCUGCCUUCGAGCGGGGGAUAACGUCCCGAAAGGGACGCUAAUACCGCAUAACAUCCUGCCUUUGAAGAGGCGGUGAUCAAAGCUGGGGAUCGCAAGACCUAGCACUCGAAGAGGGGCCCGCGUCCGAUUAGCUAGUUGGUGAGGUAACGGCUCACCAAGGCUAAGACGGGUAGCUGGUCUGAGAGGAUGAUCAGCCACACUGGGACUGCGACACGGCCCAAACUCCUACGGGAGGCAGCAGUGGGGAAUAUUGGGCAAUGGGCGAAAGCCUGACCCAGCCACGCCGCGUGAGUGAUGAAGGCCUUCGGGUC